This 497-nucleotide ribosomal RNA is filed under the name uncultured bacterium. Its description in RNAcentral is "partial 16S ribosomal RNA". It matches the Rfam family "Bacterial small subunit ribosomal RNA", at positions 28 to 507 of the family's 1533-position model. The record is from RNAcentral.
GAUGAACGCUGGCGGCGUGCCUAAUACAUGCAAGUCGAGCGAACAGACGAGGAGCUUGCUCCUCUGACGUUAGCGGCGGACGGGUGAGUAACACGUGGAUAACCUACCUAUAAGACUGGGAUAACUUCGGGAAACCGGCGCUAAUACCGGAUAAUAUAUUGAACCGCAUGGUUCAAUAGUGAAAGACGGUUUUGCUGUCACUUAUAGAUGGAUCCGCGCCGCAUUAGCUAGUUGGUAAGGUAACGGCUUACCAAGGCGACGAUGCGUAGCCGACCUGAGAGGGUGAUCGGCCACACUGGAACUGAGACACGGUCCAGACUCCUACGGGAGGCAGCAGUAGGGAAUCUUCCGCAAUGGGCGAAAGCCUGACGGAGCAACGCCGCGUGAGUGAUGAAGGUCUUCGGAUCGUAAAACUCUGUUAUUAGGGAAGAACAAAUGUGUAAGUAACUAUGCACGUCUUGACGGUACCUAAUCAGAAAGCCACGGCUAACUACGUG